Molecule: long non-coding RNA, 171 nt
Organism: Pocillopora damicornis (cauliflower coral)
Lineage: Eukaryota; Metazoa; Cnidaria; Anthozoa; Scleractinia; Pocilloporidae
Source: RefSeq, a predicted model, not a curated record
CAUGAAUUUCUGGAGAAAGACUUGAUCGUGAAAUGCCGAAUUUUCGGCAUGGGUUCGCAGAGCCAGUCAGACGCAAGUCAGCUCAAUUCUAUUAUCAAAUCCUUUGGUGAGACUCCAGAUAGAACUGAAAAGCUAGGUUAUUUGAAAAACCUCACAAGUCAAGCUCUCCCC